Molecule: non-coding RNA, 4170 nt
Organism: Lolium perenne
Lineage: Eukaryota; Viridiplantae; Streptophyta; Magnoliopsida; Poales; Poaceae
Source: RefSeq, a predicted model, not a curated record
UCUCUCUCAUCUUUCUUCAUACACAUCCCACCGCUCCGUUCGUUCCUAGCCCAAUCCUCCACCAACCGAAACCCGGAUUCAGUCGAUGCGAGAAGCGAGCGGAGGUAGUGCACGACAUUCCUCCGCGGCGAGGUUAAAUGGAGGAGCAUGGUUAUUGAGGCGGACGGUUGGGCCAAGCUCGCAGACUCCGGCUGUGCGAGGCCCGUUGAUUCGGCGGGCUCGGGGCACGCCGCCGUUCAUGGCGUUCAAGGAGGCGCGCGGGCAGGACCAGGACGACCCCAUCGAGUUUUGAUUUCACGGCCCGCCAUCCGGCGAGAAGGUUCCUCGCGUCCGCGGCGGGGGCGCCCCUCCGCCGGCUUCUAUCCCUCCUCUUGACCCAAUGGGUCCAGGCCAGGCACUCCCACCACCCCAACUGAUCUAGCUCCCAUGGACCCUGGCUAUGCGAGGACCUUGGAUUUGACGGAAAGAAAAAUCAUCUGGAGAAACACAUCAUAACCGAGUUAAUCCUCACAUACCAAGUGGUCCAGCGAUGUAUUCCCCCACUGCGUUCAGCCAGACGACCGCCGCUGCGCCUACAACAGUUAUUGCAUCUCUGCCAUGCGCUAGACAGGCCGCUGGUGGUGGUUGCCAGAAUGAGUUAGGGCAGGGGCAUGAGACUCCUUAACCCGGCAACUUGGCUAUACCGUUUGGUGUUCAUCACUCUGUCCAGGAUGCUAUCGCCACCAUGGAUUCAUGCACAGGUGCAGAGCGGCCUUGCAGCGGUGGGAAACGCCCCUCCUUUGUAUCACCACCUAAGAAGGUGAGCUGAUUAAAUUGAUUUCCUCCAUAGGAUGAAGAUACCCUAUUUUGCAUUGUUUACUUGUUUGUGGUUUGUGCAUACUGCUCUUCAGCUCUAAAUUGUUGUUUGAUAGAGCUCUGAAAUUGUUUAGGCGUAGAAUUUUGGGCGCUUUUUUCUGUUGGUUGAGUUCUUGAAAUGAAUGGGGAUGCCAGUUUAGAGUUGCAGCCCUUCAUGUUUUCUGUCAGUGGGAGCACCUGGGAUUAUAUAAGCGAACAUAUGAUGUUUGCAUUUUCGUUCAGCUAUGUAAUCACCAGUUGAUAUGAUUAAUUGGUACUACGACAACCAAUGAAAAUUAAGGAAGUUUGAGAUAUGAAAUAUGGGUGUUGAAUUUGAGAAUAAUCUUACUGGUCCAUUCCUGUGCCACUACCUUUGUUCAGUUAUGUGGUCAUGAAAUUAUUAUGAGCUGCCAUUUAAGAAAAAAGAUAUAUUGUCGCCACUUAAUAGUUUCUAUUGAAGAAUUCUAAAAACUUCUUUCUGGUCAACGCAGUGAACGGAAUGAUGUGCUUUCACUCUCACAUUUUCUAUUUAAAUUUGUGCCAAUUAACCCUUUAAAUUAUUGUUGUUUCAAUAGUUUGGAGGAAUAAGAGUUCUCUAGGCAUCUCACCCAUUGGUAAAAUUAUUAAUCCAUGACUGCACUUACUCGGUGAACUUGCAGGGCCAUAGUUUGGAGGAAUAAGAGUUCUCUAGACAUCUCACCCAUUGGUAAAAUUAUUAAUCCAUGACUGCACUUACUCGGUAAACUUGCAGGGCCAUAGUUUGGAGGAAUAAGAGUUCUCUAGACAUCUCACCCAUUGGUAAAAUUAUUAAUCCAUGACUGCAGUUGCUUGGUAAACUUGCAGAGCCAAAGUUUCGACUCUUCAAACCGUACUUGUUUAUCCCUCACUGGAAAAUUUCAUGGCUUAAUAUAUAUGCUUUUAGUAGCUGUUCUCCUUCUCCCUCACUCAAUUUUUAGUUUGUUUUUUCCAUUAACCUCCCAUAGCUACUAUUUCUUAAAUGCUGCCAUUCUAUAAAUAUGGCACUACAUUCAUGUAUCUAUGACAGAUAAAGAUUCUAAAUUUAUAGUGCUCUGCAUUACAGGAAAUCCAAAUAUAGCAUAAACUACUAUUAACUAGCUACAAAAUCAUUAGAACAUACUUAGUUUUUUGUGUUGGACUGUUGGUAUCAGUGAGCACGCUAAUUCUCUUCGUUUGGUCUUAUUGUCUUACCUGCAUCACCAUCUAUUGCUUUCUAGAUGUAGAGUGGAGCUUCUGUAAUGCUUAUUUUAAACAUGCAUUUCAUUGUGUUGUCGCUCUGUAACAGUUCAGGUAUUAAGCAUUGCUAAUAUUUUUUUAUUUAUUCAUUAACAUGGUUCAGACUCCAGAUAUGGAAGAGUGAUGCCGGUCUGCUAUGAUUCUGACUCUUUUGAUUGGCUGGUUCCAUUAUAAUUGGGUCCAUAGGUUUCUUUACUUUUGGAGGCAUACCGAUACAUGUAGAAUGAUGCUGGUUGUCUAUGGAUUUGAUUAUUCUCAUUGGCUGGUUUUAUCUGACUGGAUCCAUAUGCACCGACAUACGAAGUGCAGCUACGGUCCUCGGAGUGGUAAGGAGUACUAGAUUUAGAGUUUUAUUUGUUAUUAGGAAUUUGUUCUUAUAAUAAAGAAAUGGAGUUGGAUGUGUCUCCAAAGUGUGUAUCCAUUAGUGAUUUAUGCAAACAUGAUUAUAUACUUGCUUCGGACUGCAGUUAUGGUGAAAAGUUUAGAGAGGCCUUCUACUGAACACUAGAGCAUUUUUAUUUUAAAUCAGGUCAUUCUUUACCUUGAAUGGAAGUCUUCUUAUUUAGUUUCGUGAUAUAACAUACUAUCUUUUGCCAUAUGCAGUCAUUCUGAUUAUAAUUUCCCCCUCUAAAGCAUACAAAUAUGUAUCUUUUCAUUAUGCAACCAUUUGUUGUGUGUGUUCCAUAAUACAAAAUUCAAUCAAUAUGUGCUGUGAUGAUUCAAUAAGAAAGUGAGCUGAAUUUGCGUUUUAAGGUAUUCCCCCAUUAUUGUGUUCUUACUACUGUUUCCUUUAAUCAAGUGCUUGCAAAGGAAUUGAUACUUUUCUCCGACUCCUACUUUCUAGGUACCUACAACGAAUCUUGCGAGUAAAUACUAAACGCAUCAUAUUCUUUUUAUAUUAUUUUAGAACCAUAUAUUUCUUUGGGAAAUUAAUAUGGAAAUGAAAAGUAAGUUGGACUUAUUUAGCUGUGUUCGACCAUGCUGAAACUCUUCUACUUUCUAGGUUUUCUGUGGGUUACCUCUUAGGUAGAAACUGCCGAUGUAAGACACUAGAUCAUUCGGAUAGGUAUUGUAGAUAUAGAUUUAAUUUUGUAAUAACAUAAUUAAUCUUCUAUUUGCGCACUAAGAGUUUGAUUUGUCCAGGAAGAUUAAAAAUGGACAUGGGCAAUCUCUCAAGUAUUUUAGUAUGAUAGAAAAUAUAGGGAGUAAGUAAUGUGUUCUCAAAUGAAUCAUCUUCCUGCUCAAGUCCACGUGCCAGGAAUAUAUAUAGCUUGGAGUUUUGUAGCUAAUGACAAGAGGAUGACACAUAGUCUCAGUACUGAAAUACACCAUUCACUUACAUGGGCUACACUGGAAAAUAUUUUGAAAUGGGUUAGCAGUUAUUAUGCGCAACCUAGGCAUGGUUAGAAUCUCUUCAUCAUUUGAUUUUCUAUUUAAAAUGUUGAUAUGUGAUUUGAUUCAAAAGGAACCUUCUGGUUUAUAUUGUUUCACUAUCUACCUUAGUUUUUGUCUGAAAGAGCUUCGUUUCUGAGUUUCAGUCAAGUUGAUCAGUACUCGGCUUGAGAGAUGAGCUACGUCAAAUUCGUUCGCACCUCCCUGUACCAAGCGAGCUGAUGAGAAGGGUGCCAACAGACGCGAGCGAAAAUCCUUAUUCUUUGUUCUCUACUCCUUAUUAUACACAUAGCAUUUAUGAUUUAUAAGGUUUGUCAAUGUUUAGAGUUGCUUUGUCCUCACUUGCUUAUUCAUCUCUGCACUGAAAUUACCAAGCAGAAAUUGUAUUAUCACUUUUCUAGAGACGGAGGCCACCAAAAUUGUUAAGAAGGUUCCUCUUUUUGUCAAACAGUUCAACUAGAGGAAACUUGGGAAAAUAGUUAGUGUCUCACAACUGCUAGGUUGUUGUGUGCUGACAGUCCUGAAUCACUUAAUGUAAUACGUUUUACUGAAUAUGUGUAGUACCUCGCAGGUGCUAGGCUAUUGUACUGAAUAUUUGUAGCACCUGACAAGUGCUGGGCUGUUGUCUAUUGAAAGUUCUGAAUCUCUUGAUGCAAUAUGGUUUACUGACUAUUUGUUACUACAAACAAA